Molecule: ribosomal RNA, 182 nt
Filed under: uncultured freshwater bacterium
Lineage: Bacteria
Description: partial 16S ribosomal RNA
Rfam family: Bacterial small subunit ribosomal RNA
Source: RNAcentral
UGGCGCAGUGGGGAUUGUGGACAUGGGGGCACCCUGAUCCAGCAAUGCCGCGUGAGUGAAGAAGGCCUUCGGGUUGUAAAGCUCUUUUGUCAGGGAAGAAACGGUGAGUUCUAAUAAAGCUUGCUAAUGACGGUACCUGAAGAAUAAGCACCGGCUAACUACGUGCCAGCAGCCGCGGUAAU